AAGUGAAAACAUAGGGAUGGCUGUAUAGAUUUAGGAAAGACAACCAUACAUUCCUUUAAUUGGUGUGGAUAAGUGAUUUCCCCCAAAAAUGGCAAUGGCAAGGCCAGAAAAAUACUGGGCAUCUGAGAAACUGGAUCCUCCAGAGAUUUUAGUUCACUGAGGGAUGGGAAGAGGUCUGUGGGGUGGUGGAAAUGGGGGUUAAGGUUUUUCCCAGAACUUCCAAACAGCCUGGGUCAGCUCAGAAAACGUUGGACUAAUGUUCAAUCUAGGUUUAGAGCUUUGCAUGGUUGAGUCCCACAGAAUGGGGCAAAAAGAGGAAGACAUUUCAGAAAAUGAGUAUGAAGUAACGAUCUACAGAAGUGAGAGGGGAAAGAAUGUGAAAAUUGGGUGUUCAUUAAUAGAAAGAAUGUGAAAACAGAACUUCUUACUUUUGAUAUUCUAUGGCAGUAAACUGUGAGAUGAUUACUGGAGUACAGGGAGUUUAUCUGAGAUAUGAACUCAGGAUGCACAGGAAUGAAAAUGAGGCAGUGAGACGGAAGAGGGGGCGCAAUAAAACUUUAUUAGUGGCCAGUUUAAAAGCCCCACCUCCCCUUUGGCCCACUUUUAAGCAACCUGAUUUAAAAAGUCUACAUGCUCCUUCCCUUUGCACAGCAGGAGAGCCAAACUCCCACCCCUAGCCAGUAGCAAGGCAGAAGGAGGCAGUCCAAGGCAAUGCUAGUUGGCAUUAUACUUUCACUUCCAGGAUAGCGCCAUCUCAAGGCAAGCAGUGAGAGUCGUCAGCACUCCACUCCCUGCAGCCCUCUCCAAAGACAGAUCAAGGUCACAAAACUUAAAAGAAGAGCGCUUCAAGGACAUUUGGAACAGGUAAAAUAGAGACCUAACAUUUGAAACAAUUAAAAUAGAGGCCUGACAUUUGGAACAAUUAAAAUAAAGACCUCACUCAGUUUUUCUGAGUUGCAAAAAGGGGGAAGGGAGUGGGAAUGAAAAUAUUUGAAGAAAUAAAGGCCAAACAUUUCCCAGAUUUGGCAGAAGCCAUACACCUGAAGACUUGAAAAACCGAACAAUCACGCAACAGGAUAAACAUAAAAAAAUUCCACACUAGGACACAUCAUAAUCACAUUUCUGAAAACUAAAGACACACAUUUUAAAAGCAGUUAGAGAGAAAUGACACAUUAGUAAAGAAGAAGAACAGUUCAAAUGGAAGCAGAUUUCUCAUUUAAAACCAGAGGCCACAGGGAAGUGCUGCAAUGUUUUUCAAGUUUUCCAAAAGAAAAGACUUGUCAACCAUGAAUCCUAUACCACACAAAAAUUUCCUUCAAGAAUUAAGAAAUAAAGAUAUUCUCAGAUAAAAGAAAACAAAGAAUAUUUGUCACAGGUAGACUUAUUCUAAAAAAAAUGGCUACAGGAAGUUCUCCACAUGCAAAGAAAAUGGUAGAAGGAGGCUUCAAGAUAGAAGAACAAUGGAAAGGGUAAGAAAUACAGGCAAAGAGACUAUUCUUGUCCUUUCAACAAAGUCUGACAUUAUGACAUAGGACUAGAGAUUUUAAAUAAAUAGGUUUGACAACAGAAGCAGAAAUUAUAACAUCAUUCAAUAUGGUGCUCAGCACAUGGAGAGUAAAUGCUCAAGACAAUUGUAUUAAAAGAAUAAUGGGGCCGGGCGCAGUGGCUCACGCCUGUAAUCCCAGCACUUUGGGAGGUUGAGGCGGGUGGAUCACGAGGUCAGGAGAUCAGGCCAACGUGAUGAAACCCCAUUUCUACUAAAAAUACAAAAAUUAGCUAGGCAUGGUGGCAAGCGCCUGUAGUCCCAGUUACUGAAAGGCUGAGGCAGGAGAAU
This 1834-nucleotide long non-coding RNA is filed under the name Homo sapiens (human). RNAcentral describes it as "HSALNT0262869". Lineage: Eukaryota; Metazoa; Chordata; Mammalia; Primates; Hominidae. The record is from RNAcentral.